UGCACUUGCGGUUGGGACGCAUCAGGUUAUCAACUGCUAAUUAAAUCUUGAAUUGGUUUGUCAAAUGCUUGCAUAAUACUCGCCUCUUGCAUCUGUACACUCGAAGCAUGUUGGAUGCAACAAAGAUUUUCCAAUACUUGCAUUUUUAUUGUGCUAAGGUAAAAUUUGCUAUUUAAAUUCUCCUGCUUAAUCAAACAAAUCAGGAGAAACAUAUAUUAGGAAGGCUGAAAGAUUUCAGGAUUCCAUUGCACAACAUAAAAUCCUAACAAUUAUCAUGAAGUUGACAACCGUACAGGUUACAGGUUUAGCUUGGCUAUGGUUACAAGGCAAAGCUUCAACUGAACCAGUGUUAUCAAAGGCGAG
Molecule: unclassified non-coding RNA, 363 nt
Filed under: Hevea brasiliensis (rubber tree)
Lineage: Eukaryota; Viridiplantae; Streptophyta; Magnoliopsida; Malpighiales; Euphorbiaceae
Source: RNAcentral